This is a long non-coding RNA of Egretta garzetta (little egret), 1701 nucleotides long. RefSeq lists it as uncharacterized. The record is from RefSeq and is a predicted model, not a curated record. The transcript is spliced from 3 exons. Lineage: Eukaryota; Metazoa; Chordata; Aves; Pelecaniformes; Ardeidae.
UCGGUGCCAGGUACUUUUUGGGCUGACAGCAGCCUCUGCCCUCGGUUCCCUAGUGAGUGGUGAGGCUUGGGGCAGCCGGUGAGUCUGGGUUGAGUUCCGCGUUGCGUUACCGGCUGAGUUUCUUUAAGCGAGUGCCUCAGUCAUGUUUUCUUCCCUCUGUGAAAGGCAGAUAAUGCCAGCUCAUCCCCUGGUGUUAACAGGACUUGAUUUAGAUGUAAAACAGUGAGAUUUUGGAGGCUUCUGGUAUAAGUGCAGAUUGCACUGUCAAACGUGUGCUCUUCCAGUUAAAAACUGGAUUAUUUUACAUUUAUGCUCUUUGUGUUCUUUUUUUGAAGAAGCAGCUUUGUUGUUACGACUCUGCUGAUAAUGUUUGACUCCCACCUUGCUUUGUUAGGUCCUGAACUCUGAAGCUUCAUAUUUUUAUAAACUGCUGCGUUAUAGGAGCUGGGAGGUUUAUCGUCCCGUGUGUCUUCGCAUGCGCGCGACAGCUGAAGAUCUAAUUUCAUGUUGGGUUUUGCCAAACUGAUCAGGGUUACGCUUAGUUCAGGCUGACUGCCUUGCACCUCCCCUGGUUGUUAAGAGGGGUUUUCGCAGGAAGGGAGCGAACGCGAAGGGCCUGAUCCUAACAGGUUUGAUGUGUUACAGAUGGACCGAAAGCUGCCAGCUUUUCGGCGAUGACCUCAGCAGCAAGCGCUCUAAAACCUCUUCCGUGCGCAGGGCUCACCGUGCCACAGAUUCUCUUUUUUUUUUUUUUUUUUUUUUUUUAAACAAAAUGCUGCUUACCUUGCAAGACGAGAGAAUCCUGGACAGCUGUCCAGUGGCGUUUCCAGGGAACCGGUCUGUCCUUAACACCGCUUCGCCCCUGCGUCGAAGAAGAAUGGCUGUAACGGCAGUUGAGCUGCAGUCGAGCUCCUCUCUGCUGGACUGGCUCUGAGCCCGGCUCCAGGCAAAGCUUGUAGGGGGGCUCAGGCGGGCGAGCUGCUCCCCUCGGCUGGGGAGGCGAAGCGCAGACGAGCUCCCUGCCCGGUACUGAUCCACUCGGAGGUUUCAAAGGUCCCCGAAUGCUGUCGGGCCGUGUCUGCCAGGAGGUUUGCACGUGAGAGCUGGGCUGAGCCUUUACGAGGAGACGUGCCGUGCUUAAUGGCCUCCUGAAGCGGGGACUGGGGGGUAACCUGGUUUGUGUUGAGACUCAUUUUCGUGGAAAAAGAGGAUGGAAUAAAGUAGGAAGUUAGUGGAGCCACAGGGGGUGGGGGAGUGGAUCGCUACAGUACCUUUAGGGUUUUUUUAAGUUCUAUUUGUUAAAGCACUUGCAGAUAAAUCAAAUUAUUUAUGCCUGGGAGUUAAACGUAAGCAGUUUGAGGUAAGUAGAUGGAGGGCAAACCCUGUGGGUAACGGCCGCCACUGCGUAACAGCCAUCGCGCUGCAUCCGACGCGGGAUGUUUGCUGAUUGUUUUUCACGUGAGCAGGUGCUGAGAACCACGUUUCACGGCACUUGUGAAGCGUGGGACGCAUGCCUGCGGGUGUCCUGUCCCAGGAGGGAAAAAAAAAAAAAUUCACAAGUGGCAUGGAUACGGAGAGGGAAUGGGCACCGAAACGGCUGGAAAGUGGUGCCUGGGAUGAACGAGGAGGGCUCCGGGUUCGGCGCUGCUCUUCCCAGCUGGCGAGAGCCUGAUUAACUCGUUACCUCUCGCCGCCGGGCUG